AGAGUUUGAUCCUGGCUCAGGAUGAACGCUGGCGGCGUGCCUAACACAUGCAAGUCGAGCGAGAAGGUUAUGAAAGAUUCUUCGGAAGAUGGAAUAACUAGAAAGCGGCGGACGGGUGAGUAACGCGUGGGUAACCUACCUUAUACACAGGGAUAGCCAUUGGAAACGAUGAUUAAUACCUGAUAAUACUGAUUUACCACAUGGUGAAUCGGUCAAAGAUUUAUCGGUAUAAGAUGGACCCGCGUCUGAUUAGUUAGUUGGUGAGGUAACGGCUCACCAAGACUACGAUCAGUAGCCGACCUGAGAGGGUGAUCGGCCACACUGGAACUGAGACACGGUCCAGACUCCUACGGGAGGCAGCAGUGGGGAAUAUUGCACAAUGGAGGAAACUCUGAUGCAGCAACGCCGCGUGGAGGAUGACACAUUUCGGUGCGUAAACUCCUUUUAUUAGGGAAGAUAAUGACGGUACCUAAUGAAUAAGCACCGGCUAACUCCGUGCCAGCAGCCGCGGUAAUACGGAGGGUGCAAGCGUUA
This 534-nucleotide ribosomal RNA is filed under the name uncultured Bacillota bacterium. RNAcentral's name for it is "bacterial SSU rRNA". It matches the Rfam family "Bacterial small subunit ribosomal RNA", at positions 8 to 543 of the family's 1533-position model. Lineage: Bacteria; Bacillati; Bacillota. The record is from RNAcentral.